RNAcentral lists this long non-coding RNA (868 nucleotides) under Marmota monax (woodchuck). Lineage: Eukaryota; Metazoa; Chordata; Mammalia; Rodentia; Sciuridae. The record is from RNAcentral.
AUGAUCAUUAUUUAAAAAAAAAAAAAUCAAACGGGCCUGGCAUGAUGGUACAUACCUGAAAUCCCAGCAAAAGUAUCCAAAUUCUGGUCUGAGAGUAGAAUGAUUGGCAGAAGGCUAGCCCCUCCUACAAACAGUAAUUACGAACUUUGGGUAAAACAAAAACAAACACCUUUUUGAUGCUCCUGGAGAGCAACAAACAAUAAAGAAAGGGCAAUGAUCCUAAGAAGGAGGGACCACUCUGGACGGGAUUCAUACUUGUAUGGUUUUUCCCCGAAGGAAUCAUUCUGGAACCUAUGUAUGUUAGAAUCUUUGGAGCUUGUUAAAAGACAGAUUUUGGAUUCCAUCUGAGUUUCUGAUUCGCUGGAUCUGAGAUGGGGCCUGGAACUUUGCAUUUCUAACAUGUUCACAGGUGAUGCUGAUGAUGAUGGCCCAAGUAUCACACUUUGAAAACCACAGCUCGAGCAGAGCAGGAGUCCUUGAAGAACUAGAACUGAAGCAGAAAGCCACAGCAUAUUGGCCUGACAAUUCAGAGGAGUUUGCAUCUGAAGUCGAGGGAAGUUGAGCAGAAACUUGGGGAAGGAGAGUCCCAGGGCCAGAAGCUACCAAAUAUGUGUAUACGUUCUCCUCAAAUUAUUGGUGGACCCCAGAAAUGUACAUGUGCAUGUGAGACUACCAGGAGUUGAGGGGACAUAUGACAGUUGAUAGUUGGAAGAGGUGAACAGAGGCCAAGUGUGGUGGUGCACACUAGUAAUCUCAGCAGCCUGGAAGGCUGAGGCAGGAGGACCUCAAGUUCAAAGCCAGCUUUAGCAAUUUAGUGAGGCCCUAAGCAACUGAGACCCUGUCUCAAAAAAAAAAAAAUGCUCACUAG